GCAUAAUCAUUUGCCUUUUAAUUGGAGGUUAGUAUGAAUGUAUAAACGAGGGACCCCCUGUCUCAUAAAAACACCUAAAAAUUAACCUGCAGGUGAAGAGGCCUGCAUACCCCUAAAAGACAAGAAGACCCUAUAGAGUUUUACCUACAUAGGACAUAUCUUCAAGUAACCUACAUUGCAGAUAUGGCACUAGAUAGUUUAGUUGGGGCAACUAAGGAAUAAAAAAACCUUCCUACUCUCUACAUUAAGAACACCUUCACCCGACAGAUCCUUUAUAAGAUUAAAAAAAUAACACUACCUUAGGGAUAACAGACUAAUCCCCCCAGAGAGUCCAAAUUGACGGGGGGGUUUGGCACCUCGAUGUUGGCUUAAGACAACCCCUAAAUGCAGCAGUUUAGAAACGUUGGUUUGUUCAACCAUUAAAGUCUU
Molecule: ribosomal RNA, 429 nt
Filed under: Hesiospina sp. 280 PB
Lineage: Eukaryota; Metazoa; Annelida; Polychaeta; Phyllodocida; Hesionidae
Description: partial 16S ribosomal RNA
Rfam family: Bacterial large subunit ribosomal RNA
Source: RNAcentral